Molecule: long non-coding RNA, 249 nt
Filed under: Elaeis guineensis (African oil palm)
Lineage: Eukaryota; Viridiplantae; Streptophyta; Magnoliopsida; Arecales; Arecaceae
Description: long non-coding RNA (EGUI_LNC039541)
Source: RNAcentral
GGUACCCUCAUGGAUAAUCUCUAGCCUAUCCCAUAUUUUUUUGAUAGAAAUAUAAGUAGAAAUUUUAUUAAAUUUAUUAACAUUAAGAGAGCAAUAAAGAACAUUUAUGGCUUUAGUAUUUAACAAAACCAUUUUCUUAUCUAGGUCAUCUCAAUCCUUUUGAAGUUUGGGAGUGAGAAUACCAUCUAUCAUGAUGGUGGGUGUGUGUAGGCUAUUGAUUAUGACACUCCAAAGAUCAUAAUCUAAUGC